UACGUAGGGCGCAAGCGUUGUCCGGAAUUAUUGGGCGUAAAGAGCUCGUAGGCGGUUUGUCGCGUCUGCUGUGAAAACCUAAGGCUCAACCUUGGGCUUGCAGUGGGUACGGGCAGACUAGAGUGCGGUAGGGUGACUGGAAUUCCUGGUGUAGCGGUGGAAUGCGCAGAUAUCAGGAGGGAACACCCGAUGGCGAAGGCAGGUCACUGG
This 210-nucleotide ribosomal RNA is filed under the name uncultured bacterium. RNAcentral describes it as "partial 16S ribosomal RNA". It matches the Rfam family "Bacterial small subunit ribosomal RNA", at positions 524 to 732 of the family's 1533-position model. The record is from RNAcentral.